CUUACAACAGAGGCGGCAGCUGUCUCCGCUUAUUACACCUCCCCGCCCCCUGCCAUGGCCGGCACUGACUCUGCCUCUGACGCUGAGGAUACGCACUGCACACGCCCUGCCAGAUGCCAAAGGAAGCCAUUCUUCUGGAAGAAGACUUUCUCCUGAAAGCCUCCUGGAGGCAAAGUUCUGGCAGAACGAGGCAAUUUCCCUCCCUGCAGGCGGAAGGAAGGCAAUUAGAGCGGGAGCUAGGGCUGAGAGAGGGGAAAUGAUGCAGACACUGCCACCCAGCAAGUGAGAGGAAGGACUGAACAUGGACAGAAGGGCUUGAGACAUUGAGCCUUGGCUGCUUUCACCCAUCCCUUCAAUUGCUGCCCUCUUUUCUAAUGGCCUGAGUCUCCAAAUGGAGCCAAGCUGGGGGCACCCUGGCCAGGAGAUGUGGCCUGCUGUGCCCCUGAGAAGAGCUGUCCCAGGCACACAGAGACAACAUUUGGAAGUGGAAAAUGCCUCUGGAGCAGUCAGAGUGUUGGGAAGUCUCAUCCCAUUCUCCGUUUCAGGAACCUUCCCUCAGCAACAGCAGAGCAGAAGGGAACUCAGUUCAGCAUAACUCGGCAAGUAUUCCCGAGCAGCAUGCUUGGGCUGGGCAGGGGAGACUGUCACAGCCAGAGUGGGCAGUGCUGUGACAGGAGGCUCCCUGUGCAGUUCCACUUUGUCUCUGUGACUUCGCACAGGUUGUUCCCUUGCCUGGAAUGUCCUCCCCCAACCUUUUCUUCCUGGAAAACUUCUAUUCAGCAAAACUCAGGUUAAAUUUCACCUCCUCCAAGAAGGCUUUUUCAACUCUCUAUGCUGUGCUCUCAGAGCCCCCUCCUCAACACACACACACACACACACACACACACACACACACACACACACACACACACACACACACACAGCUUUCCUCUACCAGGACACUAUCUGCUUCUUGACUAGACUGCAAACUCUUUGAAGUGAGUGAUCAUUUAACCAGCAUGAUGUUUGUCACAUAGUAGAUACUUCGUCAAUGUUUAGGAGCCAAGGAGAGAAACCACAGUGAACAGCCACACUGUACUUUCCUCACUGUGAUCAGCACAGUCUUGAACUGUGGCGUAAGGGCUUCCCUGUGAUCCAAGGAGGUGCUUCCUGCUGGUGAAGGAGGAGUUGGGCCCGGGGCUGCAGCCACCUGGGCGAGAAACCACUGGGAACCUGCUCUGUGCCAGGCCCUGCCUGGGCUUUGGGGGUGGGAGUAAGACACAGUCCCUGUCCUGAGGACCUGCAGUCUGGUGGAGUGGACAGGAGCUGGGUUGACAUAGGAUCUGCCAGGCAGAGGGUGCUGAUUGUCAUAGACAGCUUGGAUGUCAGGGGAGCCUGAGGUGGAGAGUGGUGGUGGCUAUUGAGACCAUUCUCCAGAGAGGACGGGGUGCAGGUAGAGUUUCAACAGGUUGAUGGAAGGGGAUUCCAAGUGGAGGGGGGACCAAGGACAAUGACAGAGAGACGGGAGCCUGCAGAGCAGUUGAGUAUCAGUGAAGUAUGGGAGCUCAGCUAUGGCAUCUUGGAGCUAGAGGGAGAGAAAGAUGAGGGGUGAGCCUGGAGCCUACAGCUGCCAGUGCUGGAGGGCCCCUUGCAUCAAAGCCCUUUCCUGUGGAGGAUAACGGGGGCCUUGAGACCAGGAUGCCUGCCAGGAGACUGGGCCAGAUUGGAGGGCUUUGAGUGUACUGAUACAGAUUGCUUAAGCCUGACCCAGUGGGCAGCAGACAUCUUCACACAGGGGGUACAGGCUGGACCAGCAUGAAGGCAGGAUCUGUGGGGCAUCUGCACUACCACGUGAAGUUUAGCAGGCCUCUGCACCCUGCCUGUCUCUGCACCUCUCCUGCCAUUAUGCCUUGAUUCAGGCCUUGCUCCUUUGAGUAAAGACACUGCCUCCUCUUAGGAUGCCCACACUCCCAGAAAGGGUAGCACGUUAGGCCUCAGAUACCCCAGCAUGGGCCAGUGGAAAUGGACUGGAGAGACUCAAGCCAGCACGAGGGUACUUGGAGCCUGGGGAAUGGGGGGUGGGGCCAGGCAGGAGGACACCAAUGCCAGCAUCACCCUAAGGGAAGCCUGGGGUGAUCUCACAGCCUUGCCUGAGAUGUGGGACAGUCUGACAGGCAGCUGGGCCAGCGGCUCCUCCCUCAGCCUACAGAUGGAUAGGAACUGGCCAUAGCUCAGCACUAGCUUCUGUGAGUAAUCAGACUGCAUGACUUUUAUUCUUGGAUAGCCUCUGCUGCCGAAAAGGAAUAUGGUAUGAACUUUAUAUACUGAUGUGGAAUAUUCCCAUGAAAUAUUAAAUAAAAAAAGUGAGUUGGCCAGGCGCGGUGGCUCACGCCUGUAAUCCCAGCACUUUGGGAGGCCGAGGCGGGCAGGUCAUGAGGUCAGGAGUUCGAGACCAGCCUGGCCAACAUGGUGAAACCCCGUCUCUAGUAAAAAUACAAAAAAUUAGCUGGGUGUAGUGGCGGGCGCCUGUAAUCCCAGCUACUUGGGAGGCUGAGGCAGGAGAAUCGCUUAACCUGGGAGGUGGAGGUUGCAGUGAGCUGAGAUUGCACCACUGUACUCCAGCCCUGGCAACAGAGUGAGACUCCGUCUCAAAAAAAAAAAAAAAAAAAAAAAAAAAAAGCGAGUCACAGCACAAUAUAUGUAAUAUUGAACAUUUCUUUAAAAAUGAAAAUCUGUCCAGUUGCUUUGACUCAUGUCUGUAAUCCCAGCACUUUGGGAGGCCGAGGUGGAAGGAUUGCUUGAAGCCAGGAGUUCAAGACCAGUCUGGGCAACAAAGUGAGACCCCCCGUCUCUACAAAAAUUAAUAAUAAAAGAAAGUUAGAUGGGUGCAGUGGCAUGUGCCUAUAGUCUCAGCUACUCAUGAGGCUGAGGUAGGAGGAUUGCUUGAGCCCAGGAGUCCAGAAGGUCAAGGCUGCAGUGAGCUAUGAUCUUGCCACUACACUCCAGCCCUGGCAACAGAGUGAGACCCUGCCUCUAAAACAAAACAAAACAAAAAUCUAGUCUAGAAGUGCUUGUAGGUGUUUGUGAGUACAUAGAAAAGCUCUGGAUGGAGACUUGGCCGUUUUACUAUAGUGGUUACCUCUGGGGAGGUGACUGGCAUUGUCGAGGGGACAUGCAUAUCUUAUUAUGUAUGCUUCUGCACUAUGAAGUUUACAUUAAUUUAAAGUAAUGUUGGUUAACACCCUGAGGACUAAAACAUGCUCAUCACACCCUCCUCGGGACCUCUGCUCUCACUGAUAUCUCAGCACAUCUAGCUGACAGUGCCUGUCCACAUGAGCUGGGCCCCAAGUCCAGCUUCCUCACUUACCCGUUGGGGCACACCUGGGCAGGGCCCCUCCCUGAACUCUGCUUUCCCUGCCUGAAAAUGGGAGCAAUGGUGAUAACAACCUCUCCUCACCAGCUCAUCUUGGACGUAGAGGUCAUGUACAGGCUUUGUGGAUGACCAAAGAUCCAAGUGCUUCUGUGUGGCUGCCAAGGACAGUGCAGGCACAAGAGUCCUUCCCACAAUGAGGACUCAGGCAGAGCAGGUGGCCCCUCAGGAGGAAUCACAGCUGCUGCCCACAGGGGCUGCUCUGUUGCUUCUCCACCAUGGCAGAGGCUAAUGGGGGCCCUGAGGCUUUGGGCUCAACCCGACUAAUCCCUGUGUGGCUGCUUUCUAACUGUGACAUGCUGGGCCCCACCCAUCCUCUCUCCUCUUUGUAAAAAGGAGAAAUGAAUACCUACCUUGAAAGAGGACUCUAAGGGUUAUACAAGAUACUACGUGUGCACAUGCGGAGCACACAGUGGCACGGAUACAUGGUGUGCACACCUCCCUCCCCGCUGAUACCUGGGGGAGAGCCCAUUCCACAUAGUGUCUCCAGCAGCCCAGAGUCCAAGGCGGCCUCCCCAGCAUGCCCACCAGCCAUCCACCAUGGGUUUUGGGGGCUCACCCUAGCAUAUUGUUCUCUCACACUACCCUCUGUCCCACUGCUCUGGUGUAGAAUGGAACUCACAGACCUUCACCCCACUCCUGUGCUCCCGAGGGGCACACCUGUGGCAUAAAUGGGAGGAGUGCCCGGGGUACAGGUGUGGCCAUGGCAGUGCCGGGAACUGUGGAUCUCACUCAGGAAGACAUAUGCAGACAUCACCUGAAGUUCCCAGCAGGACAGGGAGUGGCACAGGCAGCUCCAUGCAGUGUAGACGGCAGCACCUGUACUAGACACCUGGGUCACACCUGACUCUUGCUCUACUCCACCCAACUGUGUUGCCUCCAGAAGGUGCUUGUCAGUAAAGUCAAGUGUCUGUCCCAGCUCUGACCACACGUUGCUAUUGAGAGGAAAUGCAAGGGAUCAGGACAGAACAGAUGCAAUCCAAACUCAUGCAGUGGGUGGAGAUGGGGUAGGGUGGGGCCAGACCCCUUUCUCAGGUUGCCUAACCAAAGGGUGCCUAGGUGGGGCCUGGUUGCAGGAGGGCUCCUCAUCUUCCUGUCUGUAGAGACAAGCUUCAGUUGCCUUUCCUUCUUGGCGGUCUGGACAGCUGAACCCCACUCCCCCUGCUGCCCUCCCCUUCCCCCUUCCCUCCGCCCAUUCCCCCUCACAGCCCAUUUUCUGGCCGAAUUGUUCCUUGGUUUAUCUUUGACCUCCACUGCAAACCAGGCUCACUCUGACAGGGCUUUGAAGUCAAGUGCCUGUGUCUCCCACUCCAGAGUUGGGUCCAGCCCAGCUGGACUCAGGCUGGAUGCAGGGCUGAGGUGGGGCCGGCCCCCCAGCAUGCCGGCUGUGGGGGUAGGGAAGGGCUGGUGCAGGCAGAAUAGAGGCAAUCGUGGUGACCAAGAGGGAGUCAAAUAGGGACAGGGUGUGGACGCCAGGGUCUGGGACUCAGGGCCUCACCCCAGAGCUUGGUGGUGGAGAUUUCUAGGGAACAACCAUAAAAGGCUAACACAGGUGGGUGCUGGGAUCUACUGCCUAAGUGCCAUGUCCUGACCUUUCCCAGUGAUUCUCAAGCUUGAGCAUGCAUCAGAAUCUUCUGCAGGGCCUGUUAAAACACACAAUACUCAGCCUUGCCCAAGAGUUUCUGAUACAGUAAGUAGGUCUGGGGUGGGGUCUAGAAUCUGCAUUUGUAACCAGUUUCCAGGUGCUGCUGCUGCUGCUGAGCUGGGACCACACUCUGGAACCACUGCCUUAAGUACUUUGCCUUCCACUCCCUGCAGAACAGAAAGAGCAGGCUGAAUACACUAAAGGGAGUGAGGGUGUCUCAACAUUCCCUUUAGCAGGAUUAACCAUAGGAAUUGUAACACUGCUUGAGCUUUUAUUGGGUCUCAAUAAGAUAAUAACAGAUUAUCUUAUUGAAUCCUUACAAGGGCCUUGUAAAAUAGGAAUAUCACACCCAUUUUAGUGAAGGAUAAACUGAGACUCACAGAGUCCAAGCACCCCAAGUCACCCACUGGGCAGUAGCAGAAUUAGGAUUUGAACCCGAGCAGCCUGGUCCCAGAGCCCAUGUGCUGGAGCUACAAUACCGAUCCCUCUGGACAGACAGGUAAACGAUGGUUGACCAUGGGAUCAGUUCAGAGCCUGGAGCAAUCCCUGUGCGUGAAAGGCUCAGUGAGGACCUGGGCAUGCUGUGGGCAGGGCUGCCUCUGUCCUGAUGCUCCUAGCGCAGGCCAGGGUUCCUCUCUCUUCCCCACUGCUGGGCCCUGCCAGGCAGAGGGCUGGAUGUGCCCCAAGAGGAGAACAAAACCCUGAGGAACAAGACUGAGCCCCCAUGUUAGUUCAGUCCAAUCUGAUAGCAUCAGAAGCACUAAGAUGUUGGCUUGGCUCCUUCUACUUUUUUUCUUUUAAAGCUGUUUCAGAAUUUCCUUUGCCCAUAUUUUAUUUUUCAUUUGAAAGAACUCCUCCCUGCUCCUGCAAUCCACCUGGCUAUAUAAUUCCUGGACUGAACAUAUUCUUACUUAUGUGAGUAUAUGUGUGUGAACCUGAGGGUGCACUGGGGCCUGUGGACACAUGGGGGUGCCUGUGUGUCUUUGCAGGCAUCUGUGGUGUGCAGAGUGCCCACAUGUGCCUGGGUGCAUGCAGGCUCGGGUAUACACACUUGGGGGUCUGAGUAGAUGCUGCCUUGCUCCUGGAUGGGCACUGACCCCUGACUGUGAACAGAUGUGCUUCACAAGACCAGGCAGGGAUUGCAGCUGUGUGGCUGCCAGAAGGCGGCCAGUUGUGGGGCUCAGAAAGGAGCCUGGAGCACCUUGACCCAGCAGAGGAGCACCUUACCCUCGGUGCUGCUGCCGGCCGGCUGGCCAGGACGGCUGCCUCUCCCAGUCUGUAAUGCUGUGCUGUGGGGUGUGGGGGAGAUAAGGUUGCCAAGCUGUUUAUCAAGCCCUUUGAAACGAUCUGGGGCUGCUGGCCAGGCCAGCAGAGGAAGCAGCACUUUAUGGGCCUGACUCUGUGGUGACCUCACCACUCGGUCCUCUCUGCUCUUCUCCUGUGCCUCUCUGUCUUCCACUGUCCCAUCCCCACGAUGGAGCUGACUAAAAAAGGAGGUGCCCUACUCCUCAUUCACUCACCUUAUGGGGGAAGGAAUAGCCCCUGGAGGGAGAGGGGGAGGAAGAGAGUAGUGGGAGCGCCUCUGCGUCCCUAGGCAGGUGUGGGCUGGAGUAGGAGGGAGGGAAGCAACGAUGGUCUGUCAAGGUCCUGGCUUUGCUCCGCUCUGUGGUGACAGGGCAGGCCUGGUUUCCCUCCCAGCCCAAGAAGGACCCCAAAGUGAAGACAGAAAUGACAGAAAGCAAGAGGACAUGGUUAGGACAUUCCCUAUGUCGGCCCAUCCAUUUAUGCCCAGGGCCUAGCACAGCCUUUGGCACAUGGCAGGCACUAAAGACUAUUUGAUAAAUAUUGCUGAAUGAAGAAGGAAAGAGCUGGAAGCUUGUUGGAGAAUAAGGAGAUGAAGAAGAUGAAGGCAGAGAAAUGGCCAGAGGGAGAAGCCAGGAGCCCAGCAUUUGCAGGCCCUGAGAUGCUACCCAGGGAAGCCAGUGAUGGGGAGGCAGAGAGGGAGAGAAGGGAGAAAAGAUAAAACAACAGUGGGCAGUGAGCAAGAAAAUGGAAGAGGGAAAUUUGCCCUCAGGUCUGGAGGCCUGGAUUCUUUGGUGGGGGUGGGCUGUGUCCUCAAAGGAGAAAACCAGGUUCCUCCCAUGUAGCUUCAGAGAAGUGUAUCAAAUCCGGUGGGGUUAGGGUGUGGGAUUGGGACAGUGGCAGGCAUCUGGAUAUGAAGGCCAGGCCUGCUCUGAGAAGAGAAGGUCUGUGCAGAGCAGGGUGCCUCAUCAUUAUGUCACCCCAUCAUUGUCACCACAUGUCUGCCAUGGGGGUCCUGCCCGUCCAUUCCUGCAGCGAGAGAAACAAGUUGAGGCUUUCAAAGGGGUUAGGGGGAUAAGGGGAGGACACAGAGAUGGGAAGGGACCCAGAUGUGCCUGAUGUCAGAGCCCAGGGGUUAGAAAGGGCAGGAAGGCUUCUUGGAAGAGGUGGAAUUUGACCAGCUGAGAUUUUAGUGACAGUAAAUUGCAUUAUCUGGAAGCACCAGUUGGAGAAAAUGAAGCCCCCUGUCUUUUCUUAGUCAUGAGAGACAUCCUGUCUUGGGCUGCUACGGCUGCCAGCCUGCAUUAAGCUGCCUUUGGGCCCCCUGUGUGGAGCAGGAAAAAUUAGAGCCAAUCAAUGCGAUUUCAAGGCAGCAGCUCCUUCCCAGCAGCCCGUGGCCAUGCCUGUUAACCAGCCCGCAGCCCCAAUGGCCUGAUACCACAAGCAAAUGGCCCCUAAUGGGGACCAGACCUCCUUUUGCCCUCCCACCUCCCUGCCUGUGUGUCUUUAUGCCUGCGUGCUGAGCUGAGAUCGUUGCUCCUGGGGCCCCUGUCCUGCCUAAGGGCCCAGGACCUACUGGGCUAGGCUAGGGGGUGGGGUGGGGGCAAAGUGGGGAAAAGAGCCCUGCAAAUGGCCCCUAUCCAGCAGGGAGCUGGACAGCUCCAGCCUGUAGGGUGGGCAUGGCAGGGCUCAGCUUGGCCCCAGGCAGCUGCAACCAGGUCAUCUGACCACUUUAACCCUACAUCUCACUCUGCCCAUUGGAAGAUCUGGGUAUUCUCUACCCACCCUUUGCCAAAGACAGCCUAGGGAGGCUGGAUGCUGGGCCUGCUAGAAUCUUCAGUGUGUGUUGCUCCUGACCAGGCCUUCCUCCUAAACUCCAUUUUCCUGGCCUUGACUUGGGCCCUCAUUGGCUGUCACCUGGGAUUCUGCUUUUAAGCCCUCUGCCUCCUGCCCCCCUCCACCCUGCCGCUGCCAGGAGGCUUUCUAAAAUACAUCUGAUGGGGUUACUUCCCUGCUUCACCAUCCCCGGUGGCUCCCGGCUGCCUUCAGGGUGAAGGGUAAAGUCCUGAGCUGAAAGGGUCACUCCUGGGCCCUGUCCUGCCCACUUCUAGGCCUCUUCUCUUGAAUGAGCCAGGAUGAGGAUGAGGUGAAUGAGGAGCCCACCCACCUUGGGUGCAGAAUUUAAGGGGGCACCAAAAAACUCAGCAAUCAAAAUAAAUAAUGUUUUAGUGCAAUCUUUUAAAAACCAAAAUUAAUGAAAAAAAAUCCAUGAUGAACAGAAUAUGAGUAUUGACGAAGAUGUGGACUGACAAGACGGGAUCAGAGAGAGGGAAGUAAGGUGAAUUGUGUAGGUGUGGGGCAGAUCCUGUCUUUAUUUAGCCCUGCCAGCCUCACCCUUGUGCUGGGUCUGCAUCCAGAUAUGCCCAGUCAUUCUCUACCUUUCAGAGGGACCCCAGGAAGUGCUUAGAAUCCCCCCAUCACCCAGGCCUUUGUAUGUGUCAUCCCCUCUGCCUGGAAUUCUCUCCUGUCUUCCUUCUUCUGUUCUUCAUUCCUCUAAAACUUGGGUCUGGAAGCCCCUCCCUCACUCCCUAAGCCAGGUUAGGAGCCCUUCUCUGUCUCUUCCCUGACUUCCCCCCUCCAACCCUAGCACAGCCCCACAGCACUGAGAUCCAGGGCUGUGACCACUAGCCUCUGAAGCCAUGUGGUAAAAUCCUGCAGAGCAGAAUGGUGAGGCAUUCAUUUCUGCAUCCGUAAAGCCCAUCAUGGAGCCUGACACAGAUUUUCUUCAAUUACCUUUGAUUGACCGAAUGGAUAAAUGAAUGGACAAAUAAAAGAAUAACAUGGCUGUGAGUCACAGGCCAUUUCAAUGAAUACUUCAAGGAUCAAAAUUAAAUAAAACCCUCACGGUUCCUCAGAUCCAGAUGGAUCCACAGGCUACCAGCAUCAUAGAAUAAAUGCUGCAACAUUUUGGUCCAACAAAAAAGAUUCUAGCAGUCUCUAAAAAUCUUGCCAUAGGAUUUGGUCUAUACUUUUAAAAACCACUCUUUUUUCAUGAUAAAGCCCUUCAACUUGCUCUAAAAGGCAACAUAGGAAGAGAGAGACGAUGCAGGCCAGUCCUCUCCAAAUAAGGCAAAACCCAGCUUUAUUUUUAGUAAUGACUUUCCCAACUGCAAGAGGGCACAAGUCCAUGAUCCAGCAUUACAGAAACCCACCAACUUCCAGAAAAGUUUCAACAACUCAUAAAGACUCACAUGUGCAUGCAGACACAAAGACCCAUUUUAGGGAAGAGGCCCCAAGACAUAGUCUGAAGCCCCAGCUGGGGCCCUUUCUCCAUGACAACUCUUCAGCCAGCCUGGACAGUGCAACCCUUGAGUAACCCCAGCUUUGCUUAACUGGGACAACCCACCUCUCCUCAUCCUCCUGGAGAAAUGCAGUUUUGUAUUUUCCUGAUGUUUGAUGGGCCCGACAUCAGAGGAUCCUCGAAAGUCAUAUUCCCUGGGAAAUCUGACCAAACCGUAAGAACGAAAAGACUAUUGGCUAACUUUGUGGAGACCACUGAGAGCUCAGUCCUCAGCAGAGGAGCUGGAGGGAAAGAGACAUUGGAAUACUUCACUGUGAUUGUCCACGCCGUCAUUCUCUUCAUCUGUAUAAACUGUGGCUGGUUCACUUUAACCCUGAGCAGGAGCUGCCUAUGAAAGAGGAUGGCUGGAGUCAGAUGCCUGGGCACUCUUCUGGUCAAGUCGGGAGCUCUCAGUGCCUGCUGACUCAUCUGUAAAAUGGGGAUAACGUCAGGAUGAGCUAAUAACGCGGAAGCCAGAAAGGCUGAUGCCAUCUCUGUUUCCAAUAUGAUUUUUAUGGCCUCCAAGAUGGUGUCCUUAGAAUCUUUCUCUGCAGCAGGCUCGUUUUUCUCCUCAAAUUCCUCUGUGUUUGGCUAAGAACAAUCUGUUUUUCCUACACUUGUCAAGUUGCUCGAAAUUCCUAAUGCCCAUUCAUGUUCUUUCCAAGGAUUAGCAGAGCACUCCUCGCUUGUCUUUCAUCACACUCCCUCCGCACAUGGGGUAAAAAUUACAUUUGAGUGGAACCCUGGCUAUCGAUGCCUGUAAAAUGGAGACUUUGGCGAGACUCACUUGCCUGGGUCAGAGUGGGAAACAGGCUGAAAAACAGGCCUGAGCAUCUUUAAUGAUGUGCAGAAAGAGAGGGGCCUCUGCCCCCACGGGCAGAUGUACACAGCUGCUAACAGAGAAGCCCCUCAUCCUGUACGACCAGUGCAGAGAAACGAUCCCCUCGAAUGCUUCCUAGUGGAGUUAAGAAAUUUUUUGUUGAUCGUGCCUUUGAACUAAGGUCAUUUAAGUAUACAACAGAUGUUCCUCUGAGGGAAACAGACUUAUAAAGUCAGGAACACAGAAGGGACCUAAUGGUUUACUAGGGGUGGCGCAUUAAGUUCAUAGCAAUUUAACUCCUUUCAAUGCUAAACAAAACAAUGACGCAAUUUGAUGCGCAAUAAAAACUUGUCAAAACAA
Molecule: long non-coding RNA, 10876 nt
Organism: Homo sapiens (human)
Lineage: Eukaryota; Metazoa; Chordata; Mammalia; Primates; Hominidae
Exons: 2
Source: RefSeq, a predicted model, not a curated record